This is a long non-coding RNA of Gasterosteus aculeatus aculeatus (three-spined stickleback), 1896 nucleotides long. The record is from Ensembl. NCBI's taxonomy places the organism in Eukaryota, Metazoa, Chordata, Actinopteri, Perciformes, Gasterosteidae.
GUCGGCGUCACGACGGCACGCUGGGUGGGAGGAGCCAAUUUUUCCCAGAAACAAAUGUUAUUUGUACGACAGGUCAGCUGCUGUAAAUAUUUAAUUUUAUUUAAUUUUAUUUGAGACACGUGAGCCCCCGUCUUCUUAUUUCAGAGGCUAAUUUUAGGUUUGGACCGGCGGGUUCCGUGUAGGGGGUGGGGCUCUCAAGUUUGAUGCCACCCACUUGCCACUGCCACAAGGAGGAUCUCGGCCUUACUGAUGUCCUGGAUGUAAGCUGGACCCCAUCCAUUCACAGCAUGGUACGUGAGCACCAAUGUUUAGAACUGGAUGCGGGCAGCUGACGGUAACCAGUGAAGAAAGCGGAGGAGUGGAGUAGUGUGGGAGAACUUGGGAAGGUUAAAGACCAGUCGAGCUGCUGCAUUCUGGAUGAGCUGCAGAGGUCGAAUGGCGGUAGCAGGGAGACCUGCCAAGAGCCUGAAUUGGACCCAGUGUUAAGUGGUCUCGCUUUUCUCUUCGUGCUGACAACUAGCAGAGUGUUUAGAGUCUGCGUACCGACCACCAUUGUGUGGGAGGAAGUGUGUAAGGGUUCUCUGCCAUUUCGGUUACUGCUUUUUCUCCUGUUUUGUGCCAGCCAGCCAGAUAACAGAGCAUUGUUGAUGAGACAGGUGAGGAAAGGAAGAAGGUCAGGAGCAAUAGAUUGUAGAAUAUGUGAUGGAAUGGGGUCAAGAGGGCAGGUAGUCGGACGGGCAGAGGUUACUAGGGUAAGAAUUUGAUUAGGAGACGGGGGUGAAAGAGGAAAGUGAGGGCGAUAGAGGUGAAGUCAGUGGGACGCAAGUAGUAGGAGGUGGGUUUGAGAAAGAGGAGCGUAUGUCAGGUAUUUGCUUGGUAAAGUAGUCUCCCGGAAGGAGGGUGGAGGAGGACUAGGGGGUUCGAGGAGAUUGGAGAAGAUCGAAAAGAGUUUUUUGGGGUUAGAAAAUGAAGAUUCAAUUCUGGAUUGAUAGAAGCAGAAAAAGAGGAGAGAAGAGAUUGAAAUUCAAGCAGGUCAUCAGGUCGUUUAUAUUUACGCCAUCUCCUUUCCGAUGCUCGCAUGGUGGCUCUCAUGGCACACACCGGUUGAGACAGCCACGGAGCCGGAGGGGAUUUGCCAGUCCGUCGGGUCAUAAGAGGGCAUAGAGAGUCUAGAGAGGAGGAAAGAGUUGAGAGGAGAGUCUCAGCAGCAGCGUUCAGAUGCAAGAGUGAGAAGAAGUCAGUAGAAGGGAGAGCUGAUAGAACAGAGGAGGCCAGGGAGGAGGGAGAGAGGGAGCGAAUGUUGCGACAAACAUGUACAGAGUCAGUUGAUGGGGUCGUUAGUUAUAGAGAGUGGAAGGGAGUAAGAGAUGAAGAAGUGGUCAGAGACAUGAAGUGGAGUUACAGAGAGGUUAGUGGUAGAGCAGUUUCUAGUGAAGAUGUAGUCAAGGUGAUUGCCGGCUUUGUGAGUAGGAUGAGAGGGACUGAGUGACAGAGCGAAGGAAGAAAGUAGGUGUUAGAGGUCAGAUGACUUCUCUGUCUGGAUGUUGAAGUCACCCAGGAGGAUGAGUGGAGGGACAUUUUCAGGGAAAUUGGACAGGAUAAUGUGCAGUUCUUCCAAGAAAUGACCCAAUGAGCCUGGUGGACGGUAAAGGACCAUGAUAGUUAAUUGUACCGGGUGAGUAACUGUUACAGCAUGGAAUUAAAGACAGUGGGCUGGAUGGUGGAAGAGGGUAAAGAGAAAAAAUCCAUUUGGGUGAAAGUAGUAGACCUGUGCCAUCACCCGGACACUCGUAAUUUGACGGUAUUUCUGUUUUGUUUUUUGUCGAUGGCUUUAAAAGAGUUAGUAAUAUUAACUUAUACAUGUAAAAGAAUCUGUCAAAUUUCCCAAAUCCUUUU